GUGCGCAUACACGUGUGCCAUGGCUAAGGGUGCAGCGUGAAAGCACUGCUUGUUCUCUGAAAGGAGGAAUUCUUCCAGACAGCCACACUUGCCCCCUCCUCCGUGAGGCUGCUUUUCCCAUGGACUCGCAGGAGUCGCUCCGAGUCAUUUCCUUGCCCCGAAAGUUUGCUGGAGCAUCACGGUCAUCUGCAUGAUGCUUGUACAGGAGCUGACUCCCAACAGAAAGCUGAAAAAGGAAGAAGCUCCAAAAAUAGACUGAAACUCAUCGAAGAGCUAAUGGUGAUGGAGAGAGUGAUAAGCAUUUAAAUUAGAUGACUCCCGCAUGCACAUUUUUAUGCUCUAAGAGGAAAAUAUUCCAUCAUGUUGUUAUAGAUACUUGCAAAAAAAGUUACUAUACACUAAAGCAAGACAAUCCAAGCAAAAUCC
This is a long non-coding RNA of Nothoprocta perdicaria, 426 nucleotides long. RefSeq lists it as uncharacterized. The record is from RefSeq and is a predicted model, not a curated record. The transcript is spliced from 2 exons. NCBI's taxonomy places the organism in Eukaryota, Metazoa, Chordata, Aves, Tinamiformes, Tinamidae.